RNAcentral lists this ribosomal RNA (270 nucleotides) under uncultured archaeon. Its description in RNAcentral is "partial 16S ribosomal RNA". It matches the Rfam family "Archaeal small subunit ribosomal RNA", at positions 477 to 747 of the family's 1478-position model. The record is from RNAcentral.
CUGCAGCCCGAGUGGUGAUCGAUUUUAUUGAGCCUAAAGCGUCCGUAGCCGGACUAGUAAACCCUUGGGUAAAUUGGGCAGCUUAACUGUCCGAAUUCCGAGGGGACUGCUAGUCUUGGGACCGGGAGAGGUCAGAGGUACUCAAGGGGUAGGGGCUAAAUCCUGUAAUCCUUUGGGGACCACCAGUGGCGAAGGCGUCUGACUAGAACGGAUCCGACGGUAAGGGACAAAACCCUGGGGCGCGAACCGGAUUAGAGACCCGAGUAGUCC